GCGGCCAGCAAUGACACCAGCACGCCGCCCGGGGGGCCCUCAUUCUCCCAGCGUAGGUCAGCUAUGUGGCCGGCCGGGUGGGGGGGGCGUUCUUUCUCCACCCCCACCCUCCCCAUCCACCAGAACGGCAAAUUUGGAGCGCUGCGCCGGGGAGAGCCUGCCGAAGAGCAACGCUGGAGGACGAGAGAUAGACGUCGUCGUCUUCUUCUUGAAGGAAUGGGCGAUGGAAUGCAGCGCAGCUUUGCAAUGAGACGCGCGUGGCUCUGCUUCUUGCUCGCCAGCCUCACCUGCCGCCCGAGCCUCCAGCAGGAGGCGACAGGGACCCCCUCCGAGACGGAAUUAAUUAACAACAUCACAGUGUUCACCCGCAUCUUGGACGGACUGCUGGAUGGCUAUGACAACAGGCUGCGCCCCGGACUGGGAGAAAAUGUGACCGAGAUCCAAACCAACAUUUUUGUCACCAGCUUCGGUCCAGUCUCGGACACGGAAAUGGAGUACACCAUCGACAUGUUCUUCCGCCAGAGCUGGAAGGACGAGCGUCUGUGCUUCAAAGGGCCCAUGAAGAUGCUGCCGCUUAACAACCUUCUGGCCAGCAACAUCUGGACGCCCGACACCUUCUUCCUCAACGGCAAGAAGUCCAUCGCGCACAACAUGACCACACCCAACAAGCUGCUGAGGCUGCAGGAUGACGGCACGCUGCUCUACACCAUGAGAUUGACUAUAUCUGCAGAGUGCCCCAUGCAACUGGAGGACUUCCCCAUGGACACGCAUGCCUGCCCCCUCAAGUUUGGAAGCUAUGCGUACCCGAUCUCGGAGGUGGUCUACACUUGGAAAAUGGGGGCGAACAAGUCGGUGGUGGUGGGCGAGGAAAGCAACAGGCUCAACCAGUACCACCUGACUGGUCAGACGGCCGGCACGGAGGACAUCCACACCAGCAGAGGCCAGUACACGGUGAUGAUGGCUCACUUCUUCCUGAAGAGGAAGAUCGGCUACUUCGUCAUCCAGACGUACAUGCCGUGCUUCAUGACCGUCAUCCUGUCGCAAGUCUCCUUCUGGCUCAACCGCGAGUCCGUGCCCGCACGCACCGUCUUUGGUGUGACCACGGUGUUGACCAUGACCACGCUCAGCAUCAGUGCCCGCAACUCGCUGCCCAAGGUGGCGUACGCCACCGCCAUGGAUUGGUUCAUCGCCGUUUGCUACGCCUUCGUCUUCUCCGCCCUCAUCGAGUUCGCCACCGUCAACUAUUUCACCAAGCGUAGCUGGGCCUGGGACGGCAAGAAGGCCAUGGAGGCCCAACAGCCCAAACGUAAAGACCCCUUGGUGCUAUCCAAGAAACCCAACAACGCCUGCACGGCCGGCGUCAACUACACCACCAACCUGACCAAGGACGCGUCCGUGUCCACCAUCUCCAACAGCACGUCGGUCCAGCUCAAGGGGCCCCCCGAGUCCAAAGGCGCCGAUCCCAAGAAGACCUACAACAGCGUCAGCAAGAUCGACAAGAUGUCCCGUAUCGUGUUCCCCGUCCUGUUCGGCACCUUCAACCUGGUCUACUGGGCCACCUAUCUCAACCGGGAGCCGCACGCCACGCCGCCCAGCACUUAACCUUCCUAAACUCAUCUGUCGCUUUUUCAUUUGAGGUAAUUUCAUUGCAUGUCGCUUCUUCCGCAUCUCCUUCACGGCCAUGUUUUUCACGUUUUAGCAUUUGGAUUCGAUUGUAGUUCUCUCUUUGAAAGGACAAGAGGCAUGGUGCCAAAGUACAGCAAGGUCAGUUGUGAGCUGCAAAAAUACAUUGUCAAGGACAGUUUGGCUAUUUCCAGCCAGCCUUCAAAGAUGUUCUACAAAUAGGAGGCACACGUACUAAACAGGGGAAAAAAAAAUCGAUGAGGACUAGAACACAUUUCUUGCCCAACUACGACUUUGUUCAGGUAAUUGAACUUUUUUUUUUCCCCUCCAAGAAUGUCAACUUUUUUCUUGUCUUAAUUUUUGUCUGCAUAAAAAAAACUAGAUGACAACUGAUGAGUGACUUUUAUGCUGUUUAAAUUGUAUUGUACUUUUUCCGCUUACUUUAAAUUGAGAUUUUGUGUUGAAUUCUCAUACAUUUCUGCCUUCACUCUCUUUUUGGUGUGGCUUAAAUGCUCAUUGGUACUUUUCCCGCAACCGUGUCGUCGUGUUUUUGGGAACGCCAUUGCGUAAAAUGUAUUAUUCCUGUAUAUUGCCAUUAAUUUAGCAACAGCAACACCACCAGUAGCUUUUAGUUUGGAUAGAACACGGUGACGCCUUGUAAUCUGAUUGUUUUUGAAUGAUGAGUUUUGAAAAGAGCAUUUGUUUCUGUCUUAUAAAAGUUCUGAAAUAUGAAUGCAAUGUAAAUGCCUUCAA
This is an RNA transcript of Syngnathus acus (greater pipefish), 2376 nucleotides long. It is a transcript of the gene named gamma-aminobutyric acid type A receptor subunit alpha5, with no coding region annotated. NCBI's taxonomy places the organism in Eukaryota, Metazoa, Chordata, Actinopteri, Syngnathiformes, Syngnathidae. The transcript is spliced from 12 exons. The record is from RefSeq and is a predicted model, not a curated record.